This is a long non-coding RNA of Thalassophryne amazonica, 1486 nucleotides long. RefSeq lists it as uncharacterized. The record is from RefSeq and is a predicted model, not a curated record. NCBI's taxonomy places the organism in Eukaryota, Metazoa, Chordata, Actinopteri, Batrachoidiformes, Batrachoididae. The transcript is spliced from 2 exons.
GUCAGGAGGCAGCACGCAUAGAAGUUCAAUCAGUCCCAUCAAGAAACAGGUGGAAUAUGCCUGAAAGCUGCGUAUGUUGGAAAUCUCACAAACAUAGGAACAAGGGAGACAAUAUUUCCUUCCAUAAUAGGAAUCACAUUAUCUAACUCAGGUCCAGGAAAGAGUUACUACAUCACCAUACUACUGAACCACCUCGAGUCCUGGAUGGCAACCACCCAGGCAGACAACUGGUCCAUCCACACCUCUUGAGAGUAGCCAUCUAUCUGCUCCAGCCAGGUGCAACGGUGCCGUCCCCUUGGCCUCCUCCAUCCACUGAUGUCCUCAUCACUGAGGCACCUGCAUGCUGGAUGAUGCACAGAGAAACCAUACGGUCAAAAUGUCAUAGUUAAUGGUCCCUGACAAUGCAAGUAAUAUUCCUCAGUGUACUCCCAUUAAUGUAUCCUUAUUAUUAUGGAAUCUGUCUAUGGCAAUUUGACAACAUCGUUGCACUACAAGGGGAUUAAUUUGGAUCAUUUUUGUUUAGUAUUGUUUUGUGCCAAAAUCUGUUUUGGUACAGCUCAUUUAGUGUAAUUGGCCUUUACUUUUGGGGAUGUUAUUUCAGCAGAAAUGGCUCAAAAACAGAUUAUAAAGUUUUUAAAAUUUUAAAGAAGCCAGCACAAAACAGAUUGUGGAUAAGUGUGAUGUGUGUGUUUGUGUGUGUGUUCCUGUGCAAAUUCUUCCGAUGUACUUUGAGAACUAAAGCAGGUUGCAGAUAACAUAUGGCACACGGCUCCAGACUUUCAAGUAGAAGCAAAAGACAGGCUCCUAUUUUAAUCUUCUCACAGGCUACCUGCACUUCUCAGAACUCAUUUGUAAGCUCUCAUGGAGCCUGAGGUCAUCCUGGAGGCACCCUCGGGCAGUUCCAGACAGACCAGAGGUGAUGGUACAUUCCAAAGGCUUGAGAGUCUGGAAUAAUCUGCCUGAGGAGAUCAGCGUGAUAAACUGAUGUCAUGUUUAAACUUACAUAUGCAACGUAUGUGUUAGACGCCAAAGCAGUCACAAAGUGCAUGCAUGCAUGCAGUAUAUGUAUGUGCACACAUUUUAUAGCAUCUAUCAUGAAAGUCUUAUUGAAUACACAUCAUUUUAUUACUUCUGUGGACAAAUAAACAGAGACCUAACCAUUAGUUUAGCAUCUUUCCUCUUCAUUGCGAAGCUAAUCAUCUCUUAAAUGGUCAUUCUUUCAUAAUCAUUCAAAUGCAAAUCAGACGUUGAAUAUUUUUGAAUGAUCCCUUUAGAUCACUGGUUUUUCGGCACCAGUGUUUCCUUAAACCUCAGUUGGUGAAAUAGGUUACAUUUCACUGGCAUUGUAAAUGUCACCAUCUCUAGAAAUGAUAGAAGUCUGGAAAAUCAAUUUAGCGCUAUCAAUAGUCCCUUCUUUGUGUCCUCUCUACAGCUAUUCACAUUCACAGAGAAACAGCACCUUCCAACCUGUUCAGAGACCAUUAAA